Molecule: ribosomal RNA, 2901 nt
Filed under: Clostridioides difficile
Lineage: Bacteria; Bacillati; Bacillota; Clostridia; Peptostreptococcales; Peptostreptococcaceae
Description: 23S ribosomal RNA
Rfam family: Bacterial large subunit ribosomal RNA
Source: RNAcentral
GGUCAAGUUAUUAAGGGUGCAGGGCGGAUGCCUUGGCACUAGGAGCCGAUGAAGGACGUGAUAAGCUGCGAUAAGCUUCGGGGAGUUGCACGUAAACUUUGAUCCGAAGAUUUCCGAAUGAGGAAACUCACUUAGAGUAAUGUCUAAGUAUCAUUAAGUGAAUACAUAGCUUAAUGAGGGGAACUCAGGGAACUGAAACAUCUAAGUACCUGAAGGAAGAGAAAGAAAUUCGAUUCCGUAAGUAGCGGCGAGCGAACGCGGAUUAGCCCAAACCAAUAAAGUUUUCUUUAUUGGGGUUGCGGACAUAUCAUAACGAAGAGGUAUCGUAAUUGAAGAGGUUUGGAAAGACCCACCACAGAAGGUAAUAGUCCUGUAUGUUAAACGAGAAGACUUCAGAUAUGAUCCAGAGUACCACGGGACACGUGAAACCCUGUGGGAAGCAGGAGGGACCACCCUCCAAGGCUAAAUACUACCUAGUGACCGAUAGCGUAUAGUACCGUGAGGGAAAGGUGAAAAGAACCCCGGGGGGAGUGAAAUAGAACCUGAAACCCUGCACUUACAAGCUGUGGAAGCACAUUUCUUGUGUGACCGCGUACUUUUUUGUAGAACGGGCCAACGAGUUACGUUAAGUAGCAAGGUUAAGCACUUAAGGUGUGGAGCCGUAGCGAAAGCGAGUUUUAACUGAGCGUUCAGUUACUUGACGUAGACCCGAAACCGGGCGACCUACCCAUGAGCAGGAUGAAGCGAAAGUAAAAUUUCGUGGAGGUCCGAACCCACGAGCGUUGAAAAGCUCGGGGAUGACUUGUGGGUAGCGGUGAAAUUCCAAUCGAGCCCGGAGAUAGCUGGUUCUCCCCGAAAUAGCUUUAGGGCUAGCCUCAAGGUGAGAGAUACGGAGGUAGAGCACUGAAUGUCCUAGGGGGUAUUGCACCUACCGAAGACUAUCAAACUCCGAAUGCCGCCAUCUUAUACUUGGGAGUCAGACUGUGGGUGAUAAGAUUCAUAGUCGAAAGGGCAACAGCCCAGAUCGUCAGCUAAGGUCCCUAAAUGUAAGUUAAGUGGUAAAGGAUGUGGGAUUGCACAGACAACCAGGAUGUUGGCUUAGAAGCAGCCACUCAUUCAAAGAGUGCGUAAUAGCUCACUGGUCGAGUGAUCCUGCGCCGAAGAUUUCCGGGGCUAAAACUUACUACCGAAGCUACGGCAUCAGUAAUGAUGGGUAGGGGAGCUUCCCAUACGGGUUGAAGCAUGACCGUAAGGACAUGUGGACAGUAUGGGAGUGAGAAUGUUGGCAUGAGUAGCGAGAUGUGGGUGAGAAUCCCACAGGCCGUAAACCCAAGGUUUCCAGGGGAAGGUUCGUCCGCCCUGGGUUAGUCGGGACCUAAGCUGAGGCCGAAAGGCGUAGGUGAUGGACAACAGGUUGAUAUUCCUGUACUACCGAUAACCGUUUGAGAGAAGGGAUGACACAGUAGGAUAAGCUAAGCACACUGUUGGUUAUGUGUGCCCAAGCAUUGAGGCAGUCAAAGUAGGCAAAUCCGCUUUGAUAAUGCUGGGAUGUGAUGGGGAGCGAAAUUUAGUAGCGAAGUAGCUGAUUUCACACUGUCAAGAAAAGUCUCUAUCGAGGUUAAAGGUACCCGUACCGCAAACCGACACAGGUGGGUGAGGAGAGUAUCCUAAGGCCAGCGAGAGAACUGUUGUUAAGGAACUCGGCAAAAUGACCCCGUAACUUAGGGAUAAGGGGUGCCACCAUCAGGUGGCCGCAGAGAAUAGGCCCAAGCGACUGUUUACCAAAAACAUAGGUUUCUGCUAAGUCGCAAGACGAUGUAUAGGAGCUGACGCCUGCCCGGUGCUGGAAGGUUAAGGGGAUCUGUUAGAGCAAUCGAAGCAGUGAACUUAAGCCCCAGUAAACGGCGGCGUAACUAUAACGGUCCUAAGGUAGCGAAAUUCCUUGUCGGGUAAGUUCCGACCCGCACGAAAGGCGUAACGAUUUGGGCACUGUCUCAACAACAGACUCGGUGAAAUUGUAAUUCCGGUGAAGAUGCCGGAUACCUGCGACAGGACGGAAAGACCCCAUGGAGCUUUACUGUAGCUUGACAUUGGGUCUUGGUACUACAUGUACAGGAUAGGUGGGAGGCUUUGAAACCAGGACGCCAGUUUUGGCGGAGCCAUCCUUGGGAUACCACCCUUGUAGUACUGGGACUCUAACCAUAGGCCAUGAAUCUGGUCUUGGGACACUGUCAGGUGGGCAGUUUGACUGGGGCGGUCGCCUCCCAAAAGGUAACGGAGGCGCUCAAAGGUUCUCUCAGUACGGUCGGAAAUCGUACGUAGAGAGUGUAAAGGCAAAGAGAGAGCUUGAUUGCAAGACAUACAGGUCGAGCGUAAGGAUGAAAAUCGGACUUAGUGAUCCGGUGGUUCUGCGUGGAAGGGCCAUCGCUCAACGGAUAAAAGCUACCCUGGGGAUAACAGGCUUAUCUCCCCCAAGAGUCCACAUCGACGGGGAGGUUUGGCACCUCGAUGUCGGCUCAUCACAUCCUGGGGCUGUAGUAGGUCCCAAGGGUUGGGCUGUUCGCCCAUUAAAGUGGUACGCGAGCUGGGUUCAGAACGUCGUGAGACAGUUCGGUCCCUAUCCGUCGCAGGCGUAGGAAAUUUGAGAAGACCUGUCCUUAGUACGAGAGGACCGGGAUGGACGUACCUCUGGUGUACCAGUUGUUCUGCCAAGGGCAUGGCUGGGUAGCUAUGUACGGAAUGGAUAAGCGCUGAAAGCAUCUAAGCGCGAAGCCAACUUCAAGAUAAGAUUUCCCACCGCAAGGGUAAGACCCCAGAAAGACUAUCUGGUUGAUAGGUCGAAGGUGUAAGUGCAGCAAUGUAUUUAGCUUAUCGAUACUAAUAGGUCGAGGACUUGACCAA